This is an RNA transcript of Myotis daubentonii (Daubenton's bat), 2798 nucleotides long. It is a transcript of the gene named MGAT4 family member D, with no coding region annotated. Lineage: Eukaryota; Metazoa; Chordata; Mammalia; Chiroptera; Vespertilionidae. The record is from RefSeq and is a predicted model, not a curated record.
AGUCGGGGAGCGAGGCAACGGGAACGCCUUACCCGAGACACUGCCCGCCCUGCCCCGCCCCCCGACCUCCUCUGAUUGGUCCGUGCUCCACCAAUUGCUAACGCCGCAAGAAGGUCGAGCAGAGUUGCUUCGGCGCGCGCGUGCAAGUAUUGAAAGGACGCUAGACGGUUCCCUAGCAACGGCUACCUGGAGGCACGCCCCGACCCGCAGAUUGGUCUCACCUGGGGCUGCUCUGGAUCCUUCUCUCGCGGUCUUUUGAGCAGGCUGACACCGUGUGCGUCUUCUACACUCCAGGCGUGGAAGUGCUUUUGAUAGCUAUCAUUGCGCUUUCACCUACAUUGAAUCUUCAUUCCGUGUAUUUUCCACCUUCCGUUCACAUAUACGGAGGACCGACUUAAAUUCUACGUGGAUUUUCUACUGUAUAUUGGACCCCAACCCCACGUUCAAAGGCACUAGAAUGGCAAGCUCAAGGGCCUUGAACCAGGAAGAUACUUCGUAAAUUGGAGGAAUAGCAAGAAGGUCAGUGUGGCUGCAGGAGAAAGAAGGGAAAUGCAGAAUGGCUUUAUCACAUGGCAGAGGAAAUAAGAUAUGUGCAUAACAAUUAAAUAUGAUGCAGAUUGAGUGCCCUGAGAGAGGAUUUGAGUGUUACAAAGAGUUCAAAGAAGAUAGUGAUCCCUUGGUGGAUGGAGACCAAUGAAGGCUUCAUGGAGGAAGUGGCAUUUCAGCAGAAUCUUUGAUAGGAAUUUUUGAAAUCUAUGUAUAAGAUUUGAGGAACCAUUUGCAGCUGCGUAACCUGAGAUCCUAUAUGGAAACUGUUUAGCCCAGAGUCUGGCACAAAAGUCACUCCUACAGGAAGAUAAAGUAAUCAAUUAAUUAAUUGUAGAAACCAUAUUUUGGAGUUUAAGGAAAAUUUUCUACAUUUAAAAAACAAAACUGAAAGAAAUCGCCAAGAGCUGAUGGAAGCCUUGAGUAAAAUGAAGUAUGACAGUAGACAGAGGGUCGAUGUCCCCGUAAAGUUAGGUAAGAAGGAAGUGAAUACAUUGGAUAAGAAUGAAACAGUGUCUAACACAUUUGAAGUCUUAAAGUUCUUUCUCCCUCAUCUGAGGAAAGUAGGCAGGAUUUACCCUGAUGUAAUCAUCAGCAAAAAGAAAGAAGGCGUGUCUUUUGCACUGGGCAUUUCCACUGUUAACAGACGAAAUUAUAGUUACCUGAAGCAAACGCUGACCUCCCUUGUUUCCAGGAUGACGCUUUCGGAGGAGAAGGACUCGGUAGUGAUCGUCUCUAUUGCAGAUAGUAAUGAAGAGUAUUCAAAAUCUGUUGUUGACAUGAUUACAAAAAAAUUCAAAAGGCAAGUGAAGUCUGGUUCCUUAGAGGUCAUUUCAAUACCUGCCUUUUUUUAUCCAGACACGUUACAUGCCAUGCAAUCAGCUGAGGACUCACAAAAACUAGAGAGUUGGCGAAUCAAACAAGUUUUGGAUUUUUGUUUUUUGAUGUUGUAUGCCCAACCCAAGGCCAUGUAUUAUCUACAGCUAGAAGAUGACAUCAUAGCUAAAAAGAUGUACUUUACAAAAAUCAUAGAUUUCGUACAUAGUAUCACUUCAAAUAAUUGGUUUUAUAUUGAGUUUUCAGUUCUUGGAUUUAUAGGAAAGCUAUUUAAAUCUGAGGACUUAACUGACUUCAUACAGUUUUUUUUAAUGUUCUACAAAGAUAAACCCAUAGACUGGCUGUUGGCGGACAUUUUUCAGGUGAAGAUGUGUACCCCAGGAGAAACUCCUGAGAAAUGUGUAGAACGAAAUAAGCAAAUUCGUAUUCGAUAUAAACCUUCCCUUUUCCAGCAUGUGGGCAUACAGUCAUCAUAUCCUGGAACUGAACAAUAUUUAAAAGAUAUCUACUAUUAGGAGUUACAUAAUUCUAACACCUUUUAUAAUGAUCAGAAUUCUUUGGAAAAAAAUGGCAUAACAAGGAUUAGACUAUUUCCCAACCUACUUCAUAGUGGAUAAGCGACUAUGUCAUAUUUUUAAAAAGUUAAACCUUCAAUUAUAAACUGGAAAUACGAAGCUAACCGUAACAAGAAGAAACUCUGUAAUACCUUGGGACCUCAGAAACUGUGCUUUCUAAAUGGCAUCUUUCAGACGUUGUAAUAAUGAAAGUAUAUAAUUAUAUAGAAAAGGAGAAAACAGUGAGCAAACUAGUGGACUUGAAAGCAUGAAACUAUCUCUUAUGUCAAGAAAAAUUAGAACAUUUAUUUAUGAUGUUUAUACUCUUACAAUUUAAUAUUAAAAUAGUAAAGGCAGGAAAGCUUUUAAAAAUUGAGAAAUGUAUUUUGUUGACUUAGAUAAUGAUGCUAUUACAAAAUCUCAAUAAAUAGCUAAAAGCUCAGAAACUUGACACUGUCAUGGACAGGCUCAGCAUGAAUUGGUGUAUGUUCUAAUACAUUUUGUGAAGACAUCUAGAGAAACAGAAAGCAAAAGUUGAAGCAAGCCAGGGUCUGACAGUGCCAUAAUAUCUUCUUGUUUUUUAAAGAAUGUAUUUAAAAUGAUAAACGUAUGCCUAAAUACCAUUUGAUCUGAUUACCAAACAUCUUGAUAUUAUAUAUUCUAAUAGUCAUUCAGUUCUAAAGAUUUCAUACUUUCUCUUAUUAUUACCUUUUUAAUUCAUUGGUUAUUUGGGAAUGUGCAUGGGUUUUUAAAAGUAUAUAUUGGUUUGCCAUAUUUUAUUGUUGAUUGCUUAUUUAAUUACAUUGUUAGAGAACCUUAUGUAAUAAAAUUUGAGAACUGUCAUGAAUUCUUACGUUUCAU